This 25-nucleotide non-coding RNA is filed under the name Mus musculus (house mouse). Lineage: Eukaryota; Metazoa; Chordata; Mammalia; Rodentia; Muridae. The record is from RNAcentral.
UAACAGUUGUGCAGCUGGGUCUUCC